GGCACCUCUGUCGCAAAGAGCAUGUGCAGACUCUGACAGGCUUUCAGGGAAGCCACUUCCCCCAUGUGCUCUGCUGGUUUCCUCAUUGGUGUUUGGGAAGAGGAGGCUGGGCUCCUCCCGGGGAGUGGGGUGCUAUGACAGAUGAGACUUUCAUGCAAGAAAAUCAAUCCUGCACAUUUGAUGUACUGCUUUAAACUUAAAGACCUCUUUGGAUCCAAAACUGUAAGGAUUCUAUAAACCUGGAGAGUAAUCCUAAGAAAAAUCAUCAGGAGAAAGGAAUUUGUAGAACUAAAACUGCAAACAUCCAGAAUCUUGAUGGUGUGCCAAGCCAAAUGUCAACUGGAACUCAACCAAAAACUAAAGUGCUCUCCGAUAAGAGACCCAAAGAAAGAGCGGGUAAGUCUCCCUGAGAAAAUGUUUUCCUGUUUAUGUAUAAAAGUUGUUUGGAGAGCUUUGCCUCACCCCUAUAAAUUUAAACAUGCCAUAAGUGUCGUUGAAUCAUGGAUGCAAAGCUGAUGGAUACAGUAUGAUGUUAAAUCAGAAUAUGACCUGCAUUUUGAAAACUGGAAACGUUCGUUGGGUUUUCUCUAGUCCUCAUGCAGCCAUGCUGUCGAGUUUAUCUCCAUUUUGUAAGGUUGGUCUUACACAGAAAGAAAUUGCUUUGCAUAACCAGUCUUUAUCUUGAAAUGUAUCUUAUAAGUUAAGCAGGAAUUAAGCAAAAGAUUGCACCUUUACUGACACAUCUGCUUAGAAGGUAAGGCCUCUCGAAAAUAAGGCAUAUAUGAGGGUAGUGAUUUAUUUGUAUAGCUUUUGUAUUUGGAAAUGUUCUGUAUAAAUCUGAAUACUUGACAGCUUUAUUUGUGGAAUUUCUUAUUUUAAUGACUAUGUAAACUAACAGCUAACCACUCUUGAAUCACCACAUCUUACCAACUCUUUAGCAGCUGUUGUUGUACUUUUCAUUUGAACAGUCAUUAUGGAUACGACAUUCCGAAAUCUCCAUAUCAGUCCUCACUUCAUACGGUCAUUUACAUACUUAUACAUAGAAAGGAACCCCUUCAAAGCCCUUUGUGUGAUUCCACUGUGUGUAUUCUUCAUAUCCUGUAGAUAGUGUAUUGCUGGACUUGAAAGCUAACACUUUUCUCUGAGUUUACAUCUUUAAAGCCCGAUUUUGAAGUCUCUUGUCAAAUAAUGCCUCUAAAAGCAAUAGUGUGAUGCUACCCUUAUCUGCAUUGUUGCCAGCAUUAUUUCCAUUUUUAUAUACUCACUUUUCUAUAAUCUGUUGAGAACCAGUUUCAGUUCAUUAUUCAGACACCCAAGAUCUCAGCUUCAUUUGUGCUUAGGAUGAGCAUUGGAUCUCUGGGAUAUAGUCAUCUGCUGUUCUUCCAACUCUUGGGGAGAUUUGCAAGGAGGCCUUUACACUGGGCCUUCUGGCUAGAAUUUUGUCAGGAAAAUGUCUUUAGUGAGUGUGCCGGGCCUAUCAGCUGUCCAACCAAACAACGAGGCAGAAUUUGUUCUAGCCAUUCUGAGAAAUGCUUGUAGCAUCAAAUGUGUAUAAUUUUUGUCCAUUACCACUUUUAUAUUUGGGACUUCACUAUAUAUAACCCUGAACCACCUGGCAGCUAAGUGGGAAAUAAGCACAGACCUCUUUUAAAAUCAUAUGAAUGUGUCCAAAUCGUAAAUUAUGACAUAAGUAGAAUCUCUGUGCUUCGUCUCUCUUGUUGAAAUUCCAACUUGAAUUCAAGGAGUUGACACUGCAUUUACAUCAGCAAAGAAUGUGCUUCACUCCAGAAAUGACCAAAAAAGGGAUGUACACUAAUGAGCAGCUUUUAGACAAACAAAGUAUUUCCCCUGGAGAUUUGAUAACUAGAAUGAUAGGUCUAUUUUCUUCAUUUCAUGAGCACAUUCAACUUAUUAUAGCAAAGGAAUAUUUUUUCACCAUGUAAAAGCUACAGUCAAGAAAGUAAGAAACAACCGUAGUUAACUUCUGGGUGGAAAUGACAAGUACAUUUCUAACAAAUUAAAUCUCUGUGAGGAAGUUCAGCCAUGGAGGCUCUGAAGUGGUAUCAUAGUCCUAGAUCGGACGUGGAGCUUACCUGUGGGUCUUCAGCUAUCGUGCAUGAGAGUUCAGUCUACUACAGCCUGAAUAUGUAGCUGUUUAACCACUCUGUCGUUCAGUGUUUCAUUUUGGCAGGGGAAAAAAAUCGAACAGGCAAGCAGGCCAGAAAAUCUAGAAGAGAGUCAAAUCAAUUCUCACAUAAAUAUUUAUGGAAAGCACUCGGGGAGAAGGAAAUAUUGGUGAAGGAUAUCUGAGAACAAUUUUUCUGAACACGUAAAUCAAAGGAGAAUUAUAGAAGCCUAAUUCCAAUUUCUCUGCAGAUACAAAACAGUCCAUAAGUCUGUGUUUUUUCAUUACAGUCCCGCCUUUUUUAACUUCAUCUUUCAAAUUAAAUUAUUAAUAAUUUAAACUUUUGAUGCUCAUUCCUUCCUGCUGUUUGUAAAUCGUAAAGUCAACUGCCUUCGUUCCUAAUUUGACUUUCCAUCAUUGCUUCUUAAUUGGAGUGUCCAAGAGCUUUGCUCUAUUUUAGCAGAAAUAGAAUAUGGUAGUCAGACUGAAGCGGCCCCUCCAUAUAUAAAGAUGGAAGGUGGAAUGUGACGUAGCAGGAGGAUGUCACCCUGACCCACUAUUGACCCUUGCGAGGUGAUUCCUGGUGAUUCUUUCUUGUGUUUUAAAACUGCCUGAUUCACAUUUUCCUCUGGUCUCAGUCACUGAUCGGGGUAAAUGUGAAACCCAAAGUAAAAGAGAUUCCAGCAGAAAAGCACAGGCACAAUAAGGUGGUUUAAAGGCCAGUCGUUAUUGCUUUCACCACAGAUCAAAAGAGAAUGCCACUCUUUUCUAAGCAGUUUAAGCUGUCCACCGGGACGAAAAGAUCUUAGCCUAGUGAUGAAAGAAACAUCUACUACAGCAACAGUGGAAUAUUUCCUCCCAGUUUAUGCCUAGUAUGCUGUGGUCUUUAUUAGAUAAAAAUUCACAAUAGAAAUGAAUGUUAUAUAUUGUAAUAUAGUUUGCUUAAUGGAAUGAAAAGUUAAUUUAUUUUUGAAGAGUAAAUAUAUACAUAAAUAUACACAUACUAUAAAAUUAACCCAAGUAGUGGUGGUUGACUUAAUUUGUUUUUUAAUUGCUCUUCUCAUUGUAUGUGUUAUCAUUUCUUUAAAUGUGUAAAUAGGAGACUAAAGCCAAAUUACAGUGUUGUUCACUGUCAAGAAUAUUUGAAUCUCACAUUGAUGUAUCAUUCUAUGUGUGCAACAUACUGUUCAUUUAAAGAUUGUAAAAAAAAUUUCUUUGGUUUAGAAAACAAUUUUAAAACCUAAGGAAAAUAAAAUCACAUCUGAAGAAAUCACAUUUUUUUUUUCUCUGAGUAAUUUCAUUAGGGCAAUAGGGACAAUUCUUCUUAGAACAGUUUCAAAAGAGGCUUCAUGGACAUAGCUAUUCAUCCUUCCUCCAAGAGCUAUAAUUACUUCUCGCCUUCUCAGCUUCAUUGUGUUAUGGCGUUUUGUUAGGCACAUUAUCAAGAAUAUGAAGGAUCUGUCAGGAACAGAAUUUCACAAGAGUUAGAAGUAUAGAGUAUGUAGGAAAUCAAAAGUACUAGCCAAAUCCAAUUAUUAUGAAGAAAAUCACGUAAUAUAUGAAGUGUACCUAUUUUUCUGUUUCACUAGAAUUUAAUUGUAGUGACAAAUAUCUGAGCCCAACAGAUUUUUGGUACCCUUUAUCAAUUCCAAUAUGAAAUUAUAACUUCAAUUUAGUUAAUUAAGUAUCUGUUGAACAUUACUAUGUUCCUUGCACUGUGCAAGGCAUUAGCAAUACAAAGAUAAAGUGAGAUAAAAUUAUCCCUCCUUCAAGAAGCUUGACUAAAUUAAAUUCUCUCUCUAGAUUUUUCCGGUGAAACCAGAGCCUUUAAAAAAGUAAAUUUAUAACUAUUUCGUGAAAUUUACAGUAAUUUAGUAAGAUUUUUAAAUUGUGAUUUCCUAUGACUAUACAUACAGACAAUUACCAUUCUGUAGUAAUACAACCACAUGAGGCAAAAAGAAAGCAUCACAGUGUGCCAAGAAGAACCUUAGUUUUAUUUGAUUUUAAUUAGUGGGAAUCUCUAUCUUGAUGCAAGUGCCACAUAAAGCUUAGGAGCUUUAUAAAUCUAGUUAAAAUACAAUCUUUCCCUCCAUAUUUGAGAUGUAUCAGCUUAUUCCCUUGAAAGUUAUUCUGAGUACUUAGUUAUAGCCCUUGCAAGCUGCCAACUUAAAUACAGAUAGGGAAAAGGAGAGUGUUUUCUAUCCACCAUUCCUACCUCUCACAGUGGAAUCCAUGGACUUCUCCUGGGCAAAGUGCCCCAAACAUCUGCUGAAGAGCCUUGAGUAGCAGGGAAGUCAAGGAAGCUGCCCAACUAACAAAUAUGAAAUUUAUGUUUGGCCUUAAGAUUUCAGGUGACUUUUGCAUUGCUGUCCCCUAACUCAGCUUGGCUGUCUCCUUCUCUUAAAGCCUAAAUGCCACCUGUUUUAAAAAUCCUUCUCUGCUCACUCUAGCUAAAGAGGUUGACUCCUUCCCCAACUAGUUUCUAUGGCUGCAAUCUCCGUUUCUUCAGAGCACUUGUCAGAACUUAUAGUUUCCUUCCUUCCUUCCUUCCUUCCUUCCUUCCUUCCUUCCUUCCAUCAUUCCUUCCUUCCCUCCCUCCCUGCCUCCCUCCCUCCCUCCUUCCCUCCUUCCUUCCUUUCUUCCUUUCCAAUAGGCUAGAAGGUCCAUGUCUUGUUCACUAUUUUAUCCCUUGCUUCCAAUAGACUGCUGCCGUACAACAGGUGCUGAAAAACACUUGCUGACUAAAUGAACCCCUAAACAAUACAUUUUAUAUAAUAAAGUUAAGUGCCAC
Molecule: long non-coding RNA, 4916 nt
Organism: Cercocebus atys (sooty mangabey)
Lineage: Eukaryota; Metazoa; Chordata; Mammalia; Primates; Cercopithecidae
Source: Ensembl